RNAcentral lists this ribosomal RNA (468 nucleotides) under uncultured bacterium. Its description in RNAcentral is "partial 16S ribosomal RNA". It matches the Rfam family "Bacterial small subunit ribosomal RNA", at positions 28 to 507 of the family's 1533-position model. The record is from RNAcentral.
GACGAACGCUGGCGGCGUGCUUAACACAUGCAAGUCGAACGGCAAGGCCCUGCCUUUGUGGGGUGCUCGAGUGGCGAACGGGUGCGUAACACGUGAGUAACCUGCCCUUGACUUUGGGAUAACUUCAGGAAACUGGGGCUAAUCCAGGAUAGGAGCCCCUGUUGCAUGGUGGGGGUUGGAUAGUCUCGGCGGUUGGGGAUGGACUCGCGGCUUAUCGGCUUGUUGGUGGGGUAGUGGCUUACCAAGGAUUUGACGGGUACCCGGCCUGAGAGGGUGACCGGCCACAAUGGGACUGAGAUACGGCCCAGACGCCUACGGGAGGCAGCAGUGGGGAAUAUUGCACAAUGGGCGGAAGCCUGAUGCAGCAACGCCGCGUGCGGGAUGACGGCCUGCGGGUUGUAAACCGCUUUCGCCUGUGACGAAGCGUGAGUGACGGUAAUGGGUAAAUAAGCACCGGCUAACUACGUG